UAGGGAAUCUUCCACAAUGGACGCAAGUCUGAUGGAGCAACGCCGCGUGAGUGAAGAAGGUUUUCGGAUCGUAAAGCUCUGUUGUUGGUGAAGAAGGAUAGAGGUAGUAACUGGCCUUUAUUUGACGGUAAUCAACCAGAAAGUCACGGCUAACUACGUGCCAGCAGCCGCGGUAAUACGUAGGUGGCAAGCGUUGUCCGGAUUUAUUGGGCGUAAAGCGAGCGCAGGCGGAAGAAUAAGUCUGAUGUGAAAGCCCUCGGCUUAAACGUGGAACUGCAUCGGAAACUGUUGUUCUUGAGUGCAGAAGAGGAGAGUGGAAUUCCAUGUGUAGCGGUGGAAUGCGUAGAUAUAUGGAAGAACACCAGUGGCGAAGGCGACUCUCUGGUCUGCAACUGACGCUGAGGCUCGAAAGCAUGGGUAGCGAACAGG
Molecule: ribosomal RNA, 429 nt
Filed under: bacterium
Lineage: Bacteria
Description: partial 16S ribosomal RNA
Rfam family: Bacterial small subunit ribosomal RNA
Source: RNAcentral